AACAAACGCUGGCGGCGUGCCUAAUACAUGCAAGUCGAACGGGGAAAGUAGCAAUAUGAGUACUAGUGGCGCACGGGUGAGUAACGCGUGGAUAAUCUGCCUUGAAGAGGGGGAUAACUAGUCGAAAGAUUAGCUAAUACCGCAUAAGACCACAAGAACUGAGGUUCAAGGGGUCAAAGGUUUUUCGCUUCAAGAUGAGUCCGCGUAAGAUUAGCUAGUUGGUGAGGUAAUGGCUCACCAAGGCAACGAUCUUUAACUGGUCUGAGAGGAUGAUCAGUCACACUGGAACUGAGACACGGUCCAGACUCCUACGGGAGGCAGCAGUAGGGAAUAUUGCACAAUGGAGGAAACUCUGAUGCAGCGACGCCGCGUGAGUGAUGAAGGCCUUCGGGUCGUAAAGCUCUGUCGCAGGGGAAUAACACAAUGAAUGUACCCUGUAAGAAAGGAUCGGCUAACUUCGUA
This 462-nucleotide ribosomal RNA is filed under the name uncultured bacterium. RNAcentral describes it as "partial 16S ribosomal RNA". It matches the Rfam family "Bacterial small subunit ribosomal RNA", at positions 29 to 507 of the family's 1533-position model. The record is from RNAcentral.